GCCUGAAAACUGAGUGAGGGGAAGGGCGUGGGCAUUUGCAUCUUGUGCAAGGAAAAAGGAAUCAGAGCAGUCUGCAAUGGCGAAUAAGCCUUUGGGAUCGACCGGAGAGUUCUUCAGGAGGAGAGACGAGUGGAGGAAGCAUCCGAGUCUCACCAAUCAGUUCCGACACGCCACUCCUGGCCUCGGCAUCGCCCUCGUCGCUUUCGGCAUCUACCUUGUCGGCGAGCAAGUCUACAACAGGAUCUAUUCUCCCUCUUCUUCUCACCACCACCAUGCCGAUGCAUCCUCCGCCACCCAUUAACUGCUACGGGUGUUACAUGGGAGACUCAAUAACAUGGAUUGUGUUCAAAGAUGCAUUCGUGGUAGCUGAAUCUAAGCUUGGAGUUGCAUAACACCCAUUACCUUUCACCUUUCUAUGUGCAAUAAAAGUAAAACUUUUGCUGGACAAAGCGCUUGAAGCUUGUGAAUGUACUUGAUGAGGUUGGGAUUGAAAUUUCCAUCAGAACUGAAAUGUUUAAUUUUAUAAUCUAGUGGUUCUAUCCAUUCAUUUUUCUCAUCACUACUGAUAAUA
Cucurbita moschata (crookneck pumpkin) is the source of this 571-nucleotide RNA transcript. It is a transcript of the gene named NADH dehydrogenase [ubiquinone] 1 beta subcomplex subunit 3-B-like, with no coding region annotated. The transcript has 3 exons. NCBI's taxonomy places the organism in Eukaryota, Viridiplantae, Streptophyta, Magnoliopsida, Cucurbitales, Cucurbitaceae. The record is from RefSeq and is a predicted model, not a curated record.